UGGGGGAUAUUGCACAAUGGGCGAAAGCCUGAUGCAGCAACGCCGCGUGAGGGAAGACGGUUUUCGGAUUGUAAACCUCUGUCUUCGGUGAAGAAAAAAAUGACGGUAGCCGAGGAGGAAGCCACGGCAAACUACGUGCCAGCAGCCGCGGUAAUACGUAGGUGGCGAGCGUUGUCCGGAAUUACUGGGUGUAAAGGGAGCGCAGGCGGGGAGACAAGUCAGCUGUGAAAACUAUGGGCUUAACCCAUAAACUGCAGUUGAAACUGGUUGUCUUGAGUGGAGUAGAGGUAGGCGGAAUUCCGAGUGUAGCGGUGAAAUGCGUAGAUAUUCGGAGGAACACCAGUGGCGAAGGCGGCCUACUGGGCUCUAACUGACGCUGAGGCUCGAAAGUGUGGGGAGCAAACA
This 405-nucleotide ribosomal RNA is filed under the name uncultured prokaryote. RNAcentral's name for it is "bacterial SSU rRNA". It matches the Rfam family "Bacterial small subunit ribosomal RNA", at positions 355 to 774 of the family's 1533-position model. The record is from RNAcentral.